AUUGUGCUGGAGUUCAUGGCGCCGUGGUCCGAGCCAAGCAAGGUCAUGAAGAUCCCGUAUAGGCAAAUCGCCGGCAAUAGUUCUAAAGACAAAGUCAACUUCUACACGCUCAACGUCGACAAGUUCAGAGUAUGUACUGUAUGGAUGGUGCCGAGCUAGCAGCGUCGGCAAAUCAUUAACUCGAUCGUUGGAUGAUUUCGGCGCCGCCGUCCUGAUUCCUGAUGCAUAUGAGUGCAGGAUUUGGCGGAGGAAGUUGGUGUGGAGGCGCUGCCGACGUACGUUCUGGUCAAGGAUGAGGACGUGAAGGACAUGAUCGUUGGCAUGAAGCGGCAGGAGCUCGAGAAGGCCAUAGGAGACUGGAGCAAGUGAUCCGAUCAUCCAUGCAUGCGUCGAUCGAGAACGGGAAAAGAAUUGAAUGAUCCAUAAGUAACCCCACUACUGUCCCAUGCAUGUAUUGUAUACGUAUAUUCAAACUCGUGUGCAUGUACACAUCCUAGCUCAUC
Molecule: long non-coding RNA, 503 nt
Filed under: Setaria viridis
Lineage: Eukaryota; Viridiplantae; Streptophyta; Magnoliopsida; Poales; Poaceae
Description: long non-coding RNA (SVIR_LNC001292)
Source: RNAcentral